CAAGCUGCUGCAACUGCUGGUUGGGAAUCGGCUGUGUGACCUUCUGCAGGAGUUGGAUUACAUCGUCUUGUUUUUGAAGAAAAGACUGGUCGGCUGGAACAAGUUCACAUAUUCAUUUGAUGUGAAGAAACAUAACGGUGGCACUUAAGGCUACCAGAGCCAACAGGACUACUAAGCACCUCAUCGUGGAAUGCAGUGAUGUGGUGCGAUGCUGACUGCAUAUUCGGCCAGUCUUUUAUACCCGAAUACUAUCGAAGAAGAGGUUUAUCGACGACCUGUCGACCCACCCCCCUUCGAUACUACCCGCGAUAUCCUUUGCUAUUUCGAAUAUAUUCGAUACAGCCAAUCGAAGAUUGGUACGUGCAUGUGUGCAAUGAUACGUAUUGUAAUAAAAAUUCAAUGUCCCCCGUCGAGAAAUUUUUAUUUGCCAUUUUGAUGCUUCGCGUUUCUCCGAAAUAAAUAGCUUCUCUAAUUGAAAA
Ceratina calcarata is the source of this 479-nucleotide long non-coding RNA. RefSeq lists it as uncharacterized. The transcript has 2 exons. Lineage: Eukaryota; Metazoa; Arthropoda; Insecta; Hymenoptera; Apidae. The record is from RefSeq and is a predicted model, not a curated record.